RNAcentral lists this ribosomal RNA (429 nucleotides) under Listeria monocytogenes. RNAcentral's name for it is "bacterial SSU rRNA". It matches the Rfam family "Bacterial small subunit ribosomal RNA", at positions 898 to 1327 of the family's 1533-position model. The record is from RNAcentral. Lineage: Bacteria; Bacillati; Bacillota; Bacilli; Caryophanales; Listeriaceae.
AACUCAAAUGAAUUGACGGGGGCCCGCACAAGCGGUGGAGCAUGUGGUUUAAUUCGAUGCAACGCGAAGAACCUUACCUGGUCUUGACAUCCACGGAAGUUUUCAGAGAUGAGAAUGUGCCUUCGGGAACCGUGAGACAGGUGCUGCAUGGCUGUCGUCAGCUCGUGUUGUGAAAUGUUGGGUUAAGUCCCGCAACGAGCGCAACCCUUAUCCUUUGUUGCCAGCGGUCCGGCCGGGAACUCAAAGGAGACUGCCAGUGAUAAACUGGAGGAAGGUGGGGAUGACGUCAAGUCAUCAUGGCCCUUACGACCAGGGCUACACACGUGCUACAAUGGCGCAUACAAAGAGAAGCGACCUCGCGAGAGCAAGCGGACCUCAUAAAGUGCGUCGUAGUCCGGAUUGGAGUCUGCAACUCGACUCCAUGAAGUC